UACAGAGGUCCCAAGCGUUGUUCGGAUUCACUGGGCGUAAAGGGUGCGCAGGCGGCUCCGCAUGUCGGGCGUGAAAGCCCCGGGCUUAACCCGGGAAUGGCGUCCGAAACUAUGGAGCUGGAGUGUGGCAGAGGGAGGUGGAAUUCCACGUGUAGCGGUGAAAUGCGUAGAGAUGUGGAGGAACACCGAUGGCGAAGGCAGCCUCCUGGGCCAACACUGACGCUCAUGCACGAAAGCGUGGGGAGCAAACAGG
RNAcentral lists this ribosomal RNA (253 nucleotides) under uncultured bacterium. RNAcentral's name for it is "partial 16S ribosomal RNA". It matches the Rfam family "Bacterial small subunit ribosomal RNA", at positions 524 to 776 of the family's 1533-position model. The record is from RNAcentral.